GACGAACGCUGGCGGCGUGCUUAACACAUGCAAGUCGAACGGAAAGGCCCUGCUUUUGUGGGGUGCUCGAGUGGCGAACGGGUGAGUAACACGUGAGUAACCUGCCCUUGACUUUGGGAUAACUUCAGGAAACUGGGGCUAAUACCGGAUAGGAGCUCCUGCUGCAUGGUGGGGGUUGGAAAGUUUUGGCGGUUGGGGAUGGACUCGCGGCUUAUCAGCUUGUUGGUGGGGUAGUGGCUUACCAAGGCUUUGACGGGUAGCCGGCCUGAGAGGGUGACCGGCCACAUUGGGACUGAGAUACGGACCAGACUGCUACGGGAGGCAGCAGUGGGGAAUAUGGCACAAUGGGCGGAAGCGUGAUGCAGCAACGCCGCGUGCGGGAUGACGGCCUUCGGGUGGGAAACCGCUUUCGCCUGUGACGAAGCGUGAGUGACGGUAAUGGGGAAAGAAGCACCGGCUAACUACGU
This 467-nucleotide ribosomal RNA is filed under the name uncultured bacterium. RNAcentral describes it as "partial 16S ribosomal RNA". It matches the Rfam family "Bacterial small subunit ribosomal RNA", at positions 28 to 506 of the family's 1533-position model. The record is from RNAcentral.